CACUAUAAAUUUAAAUAUAAUAUUAAAUUUAAAUAUAAUAUUAAAUUUUAACCAUUAAAUCAGCAUUGUUUAUCAUUUACAUUCGUUAGAUUAUACUAUUCAACCAACCACCCACUCAACCCUAGGGGGCUCACAUCAUCUUAACCACAUAUUUUUUAAUCAAAAGGCUAAAAACAUACAAGUACCAAAGUCUUGAUUCUUUUAAAAGUAUAGUAGCUCAAUUCUAAUAUGUAUAUAAAAAUUUAAUAUUAUAUUUAAAUUUAUAUUUUCAAAUUUUAAAUUUAAUAUAAUAUAUUUUGAAAUAUUGAAAGAGAAAUAAUUAUUUCGGCUUCAGAUUUUCGGGUUCGGAUUCGGGUUUCGAAUUUUUGGUCGGUUUCAGAUUUGGAUAUGGAUUUUUAAAAUUCGUCGGAUUCGGGUUCGGAUUCGGAUUUCAGGUUUGGAGUCGAGUUUGGGUUCGUGAUUUUGAAAAUUUGCCCUGAAUCCGAUCCGUUGACAUCUCUAGACUCAAAUUGGAAUUACUAUUAUUAUUAUGAGUAAUGCUAGAGGUACAUCUCACCCAUCCAAUACCACCUUUGUGGUUUUGCAGUUUCUCACUUUAGUACCAUGUGGUUUAAAAUGUAUUACUUUCGUACCUUGUGAUUUUAUUUUUCUUUUUUUGUUAUUCUCUUUCACUAAAUUUUUUCGUUAAAUCGGUGACAAAGUUAAAACUAAAUAAUACUAACGUGAAUAUUCGAUAAAUUAUAAAUGGGGUAUCUGAAGUAUUUUAUAUAUGAUUUAACGAAAGGUUAACAAAUGGGCUGACGAAAAGAGAAAAAUGAAAUCAUAGAUACUAAAUUAAUAUAUUUUAAACCACAGAGUACUAAAGUGAAAGAGUACGAAACCACGGGGUGGUAUUUGAAGUUUACCCAUAAUAAUAUAAAAAUGCUAAUUGUACACUCCAAGUCUCCAAUCAGAAUCCACAAAUUACUCCUCACCCAUCUAACGGGUAAAAAUUAUUCACUAGUCACAUCUAGUGACCGGUGAAAAUACGCCAUCUAUUAGAUGGAUUGGAUGUAAGAUAUACAUCCCGAUCGAUUAGAGUGUAUGAGUAGUAUUGCAGUAGAAACUUCCUCAAUUAUAGGCCAUUUUGAAAUAGUCGCCUCAAUUUUUACUUUUUUGAUUGAAAUUAUCUCAAACUUUUGCUUGUUAAA
Molecule: long non-coding RNA, 1190 nt
Filed under: Ananas comosus (pineapple)
Lineage: Eukaryota; Viridiplantae; Streptophyta; Magnoliopsida; Poales; Bromeliaceae
Description: long non-coding RNA (ACOM_LNC031300)
Source: RNAcentral